RNAcentral lists this ribosomal RNA (457 nucleotides) under Pseudomonas aeruginosa. Its description in RNAcentral is "bacterial SSU rRNA". It matches the Rfam family "Bacterial small subunit ribosomal RNA", at positions 30 to 481 of the family's 1533-position model. Lineage: Bacteria; Pseudomonadati; Pseudomonadota; Gammaproteobacteria; Pseudomonadales; Pseudomonadaceae. The record is from RNAcentral.
AUUGAACGCUGGCGGCAGGCCUAACACAUGCAAGUCGAGCGGAUGAAGGGAGCUUGCUCCUGGAUUCAGCGGCGGACGGGUGAGUAAUGCCUAGGAAUCUGCCUGGUAGUGGGGGAUAACGUCCGGAAACGGGCGCUAAUACCGCAUACGUCCUGAGGGAGAAAGUGGGGGAUCUUCGGACCUCACGCUAACAGAUGAGCCUAGGACGGAUUAGCUAGUUGGUGGGGUAAAGGCCUACCAAGGCGACGAUCCGUAACUGGUCUGAGAGGAUGAUCAGUCACACUGGAACUGAGACACGGUCCAGACUCCUACGGGAGGCAGCAGUGGGGAAUAUUGGACAAUGGGCGAAAGCCUGAUCCAGCCAUGCCGCGUGUGUGAAGAAGGUCUUCGGAUUGUAAAGCACUUUAAGUUGGGAGGAAGGGCAGUAAGUUAAUACCUUGCUGUUUUGACGUACCAA